GGGGGUGGGGGUGGGGUUCCGGACACAGCUGGGUAUGGGGUGUCCCUAAGCUUGUUUUGGCAUGCUAAGUGGGCAGGGCCAGGGCCAGCUUGUCCCAGUGCAUGGUGUGGCUAGCUGUGGGUAGGCUGGGUCCACUGGCUGCAAGAUUGUGGUUUUGAGUCUGAGGUCUGGUACCCCUCUCCCCCACCUCCCCUUAUACAACCUGUCCACUGUUAUCCUACCCAGUAAGUUGUGUGGCCUGAGGUGUCCCAGCACUGGCUCCUAACAGCUGUUGGGUGGGGCCAGGUCUUGGCACUGAUGAGCGAGAGAGAGGAUCCCACAACAGUGCCUGCCCAUCCAGUGUCCAUGUGGCUGAAGGGUCUUCUGCUGAUGGCUGUGUCCCUGGGGUCAGCUGCAGCCACCCAUCCUGCUACCUCUCCGAGAGACUCCCCAAGACCAGCAGUUGUAGAAGAUCUCUUCUGGUUGGUUCUGGUCUGCUUCAUUGAUGUUGUUCUGCAGGUUUUGGCAUGCUGCACUCAAAACUUCUUUGGCUUCUUGGCUGGUUCACCUGUGGUUGAGCCCAAGGUUGGUGGCAGAGACAUCAGUGGUUUAUUAGACUGAGGAUGCUACAUAGCCAAAGGUUCUCAAAGAACACCCAACUGUCAACAGCAAACAGCAGAAAAUCUCACACACUCCUUUCCCCACACUGAAGCUCACCAUUCCUGAUAGCCACCAUGGGCCUCCUGCUGCUGAACCAAGAAGUGUGAUGAUUUCUGGACAUUUAUCAGUCCCCAGAGACAAACCCUCCCAUUUGUUGGAAAUGCAACUCGCUCCCCUCUACUCAGGGAGCUGGCUUUUUCUUGCCCCUUCUUUGUGCACAUGCUCUUUGAAUAAAAAGCUUUGCUUCCCCAA
Molecule: long non-coding RNA, 891 nt
Organism: Capra hircus (goat)
Lineage: Eukaryota; Metazoa; Chordata; Mammalia; Artiodactyla; Bovidae
Exons: 4
Source: RefSeq, a predicted model, not a curated record